RNAcentral lists this ribosomal RNA (411 nucleotides) under Triticum aestivum (bread wheat). RNAcentral describes it as "partial small subunit ribosomal RNA". The record is from RNAcentral. Lineage: Eukaryota; Viridiplantae; Streptophyta; Magnoliopsida; Poales; Poaceae.
AUGAAAACCCCCCCAGCAGAUUCCCGACAAACUCACAGCUCCCGCCGUCUCCUCCGCUCCUCUGUCGCGCCGGAGGUCCGCUCCCCCGCAUCUCAGCUCCUCCGCAGCUUGCCCGCAGCGGCUCCCCCGCAGCUCCCCGCAUCGCCGGAGCUCUCCCGCACCACGCCUCCCCCACCCCACGCCUCCGACGCAGCUUCCCUCUCCUUGUUCCCCUCCUCGUUCCCCAUGGUGAUCCUCGACGAGGAGAAGACUGAUUUUUUCUUUCGAUCUGCUCGGCGGCGGCCAUAUCCAGGUCCUCCUCGGCGCUGCGGCGAAGCUCCACCACCGCCAAAGCUCGCCGCCUCCUCCGCCGCUCUCUCAUGCUCGCGCAGCUCCAGCUUGCCUUCCUCCCCUAGCUUCCCCCCUUCCUAG